RNAcentral lists this long non-coding RNA (1866 nucleotides) under Anser cygnoides (Swan goose). RNAcentral's name for it is "lncRNA (ENSACDG00005009217.1)". Lineage: Eukaryota; Metazoa; Chordata; Aves; Anseriformes; Anatidae. The record is from RNAcentral.
GGCCCCGCCGAUCCUGUUCUCCCGGCUGCCUCGCCUGCUUUCGGGUGGCAGCCCCGCAAGGGGGGCAGCGGGUUCCCCCCCAUGAUGUGGGGCUGGGGUCUCCCCAAAAUGUGGGGCUGGGGUCUCCCCAAAAUGUGGGGCUGGCUCUCCCCCAAAAUGGGGCUGGCUCUCCCCCAAAAUGUGGGGCUGGCUCUCCCCCAAAAUGUGGGGCUGGCUCUCCCCCAAAAUGGGGCUGGCUCUCCCCCAGUGGGGCUGGCGUCCCCCCAAUGGGGUUGGGGUCUCUGUGGGGCUGGGGUCCCCCCAACGGGGCUGGGGUCUCCAUGGGGCUGGCGUUCCCCAUGGGGCUGGGGUCCCCCCAAUGGGGCUGGGGUCCCCCCAAUGGGGCUGGGGUCUCCGUGGGGCUGGCAUCCCCCAUGGGGCUGGGGUCCCCCCAAUGGGGCUGGGGUCUCCGUGGGGCUGGGGUCCCCCCAACAGGGCUGGGGUCUCCGUGGGGCUGGGGUCCCCCCAAUGGGGCUGGGGUCUCCGUGGGGCUGGCGUUCCCCAUGGGGCUGGGGUCCCCCCAAUGGGGUUGGGGUCUCCGUGGGGCUGGCGUCCCCCAUGGGGCUGGGGUCCCCCCAACGGGGCUGGGGUCCCCGGGGGCCAGCGGUGCCCCGGUGCUUUGGGUUCUGCCCUGUAUGGCCGUGCCUCGUUCCCACCCCCUAUCCCCCACCCCGCAGAGCCAGGGCGCGCUGGCCGGGCGGCUGCGCAGCUUCAGCAUGCAGGACCUGCGCUCCCUCCCCGACGAAGCCCCCGUGCACUACCGGGACCCCCUGUACCUGGAGGAGCAGGAGAGCCGCAGGCAGCCCCCGGGAGCAGCGGGGUCCCUGCGCGCCGCGUGGCCGGGGGGCUCGGGGGGCUGUGCCAGAGCCGUCGGGUGGCCCCCGUCCCCAGCGGCGCCGCGCUGCGACAGCGAGACGGAGGAGGAGGAGGAAGAGGAAGAGCGCUGGUCGGACUCGCAGCUUUCCCCCAAGCCCGCCCCUCGCCCCCGGGACCCCAGACCCCUCUCCCGGAGCCAGAGCUUGCGCGCGGCGAAGAAGAAGCCCCAAGGCAAAGAGGGCUCUUCCCGGCUGGCGCGCGGCCGCGUUCGGAGGAAGCCGGCUCCGACGGAGCAGGACGGUUAAUUUAACACUGCACCCCCCCCCCCCCUUCCCCGGGAAAAGCAUCGCCAGGAGUCUUAACUUGUUGAUUUGCUGCUGCAGCGCUGGGGGGGGAGCCGGGGGUUGUGCCGCCAGCCCCCCCACCCCACCCCGGGGUGAGGGCUCCCCGCUGCCUCGCGCCGCCCGUGCCUUAGGUUUUGGUGUCUGCGCCCUCCCGGCCGCACCGCGCACCCCGGGGGUGCCUCAUGGAGGGCUUGGGGGGGCUCCAUCCUGCUCCCGGCCGUGCCCCCCCUCCACUUCCCUUGACCAUCGCUGCUGCGGGGGGGCGCCGGCGCCUCUCCCGCGGGGGCCCGGCUCCCCCCUCCCCAAGCACUACAGGAGCCCCGUCCUCGGCACGGGGGCCCUGGGGGGUCCUGCUCUCCCGCUGCCACGUUGCCUUCCUCCCGCGUCCCCUCUCCCCCGGGAGCCGGUGUGGGGACGUUCCUGGGCUCCAUCAAUCCCCCGUGAAGCCAAAGACACCGCCUGUGCCCCCCCCCCAACACCACGGGUGUCCCCCCCCCCUUUUUUUUUUCCCCCUCUCUACUUGAAACCGGAGCACCGGUGCCUGCCCGUGCCCUGCGCGGCACCACGCGGCUUUUAACGCCCUCCCCUCCUCGAGGUGUGUGUCGGGGGGGGGCAUUUUUGUACACGGACGAAUAAAUCUGAUUCCAGACUUUGAGAAAUCGGCGUC